AACGCAAGUUGCGCCCUAAGCCAUUUGGCCGAGGGCACGCCUGCCUGGGCGUCAAUCAUCUAUUCGUCACCUAGCCUCUGCUCCCCAUAAAGGAGCUCGGGUCCUGGUUACGGAAGUUGGCCUCCCGUGGUCUAGAAGUGCGGCUGGCCUAAAAUCGAGCAUCGGGUUGGUGAUCUCCGAGGCACGCGGUGGUUGUUCAUUCAUACCUCGUGAUGUUGCCCCUGAGCAUCUUCCACAAGAAGCUCCACGACCCUAGAUACAUAUCGAUGCGACCCCAGGUCAGGCGGGGCCACCCGCUGAAUUUAA
Molecule: ribosomal RNA, 306 nt
Filed under: uncultured fungus
Lineage: Eukaryota; Fungi
Description: eukaryotic LSU rRNA
Source: RNAcentral